AGCGAACGCUGGCGGCAGGCUUAACACAUGCAAGUCGAGCGGGCAUCCUCGUGGUGUCAGCGGCAGACGGGUGAGUAACGCGUGGGAACGUGCUCUUCGGUUCGGAAUAACUCAGGGAAACUUGAGCUAAUACCGGAUACGUGCGAGAGCAGAACGGUUUGUCUGCCGAAGGAUCGGCCCGCGUCUGGUUGGCUAGUUGGUGAGGUUAUGGCUCGCCAAGGCGACGAUCAGUAGCUGGUCUGAGAGGAUGAUCAGGCACACUGGGACUGGGACACGGCCCAGACUCGUACGAGAGGCAGCAGUGGGGAAUAUAGGGCAGCGGGGGCAAUCCUGAUCCAGCCCGGCCGGGUGAGUGAUGACGGCCUUAGGGUUGUAAAGCUCUUUUCUUCGGGCCGAUAAUGACGGUACCGGAGGAAUAAGCCCCGGCUAACUACGUG
RNAcentral lists this ribosomal RNA (437 nucleotides) under uncultured bacterium. RNAcentral's name for it is "partial 16S ribosomal RNA". It matches the Rfam family "Bacterial small subunit ribosomal RNA", at positions 28 to 507 of the family's 1533-position model. The record is from RNAcentral.